Molecule: ribosomal RNA, 684 nt
Filed under: uncultured Staphylococcus sp.
Lineage: Bacteria; Bacillati; Bacillota; Bacilli; Caryophanales; Staphylococcaceae
Description: bacterial SSU rRNA
Rfam family: Bacterial small subunit ribosomal RNA
Source: RNAcentral
CGAGCGAACAGAUGAGGAGCUUGCUCCUCUGACGUUAGCGGCGGACGGGUGAGUAACACGUGGAUAACCUACCUAUAAGACUGGGAUAACUUCGGGAAACCGGAGCUAAUACCGGAUAAUAUAUUGAACCGCAUGGUUCAAUAGUGAAAGACGGUUUUGCUGUCACUUAUAGAUGGAUCCGCGCCGCAUUAGCUAGUUGGUAAGGUAACGGCUUACCAAGGCAACGAUGCGUAGCCGACCUGAGAGGGUGAUCGGCCACACUGGAACUGAGACACGGUCCAGACUCCUACGGGAGGCAGCAGUAGGGAAUCUUCCGCAAUGGGCGAAAGCCUGACGGAGCAACGCCGCGUGAGUGAUGAAGGUCUUCGGAUCGUAAAACUCUGUUAUUAGGGAAGAACAAAUGUGUAAGUAACUAUACACGUCUUGACGGUACCUAAUCAGAAAGCCACGGCUAACUACGUGCCAGCAGCCGCGGUAAUACGUAGGUGGCAAGCGUUAUCCGGAAUUAUUGGGCGUAAAGCGCGCGUAGGCGGUUUUUUAAGUCUGAUGUGAAAGCCCACGGCUCAACCGUGGAGGGUCAUUGGAAACUGGAAAACUUGAGUGCAGAAGAGGAAAGUGGAAUUCCAUGUGUAGCGGUGAAAUGCGCAGAGAUAUGGAGGAACACCAGUGGCGAAGGCGACUUUC